Molecule: non-coding RNA, 1604 nt
Organism: Callithrix jacchus (white-tufted-ear marmoset)
Lineage: Eukaryota; Metazoa; Chordata; Mammalia; Primates; Cebidae
Source: RefSeq, a predicted model, not a curated record
UCGCUGGGGCGCGGGGUGGCGCGGGGAGUCGGAGCACAGCCGGGACCGGAAGGGGGCGGGCGUGGGUGUGAGGGGAGUCGACGGCCCGGGCGGCGGGGACACCCGGGGGUCCCGGGAGAUCAGGGAUGUCGGGGCAUCGGUCUCCGGUCUCAAGUCCCCAGGCACAGCACACGGAUCCAACAUCUGCACCUUCGUUUUUACUAACCGCUGUUUCUCAAUUUAAAACCUGAUCAUCAUCUUCCUUGUUGGCAAAGGUGCCUUGGAAAUUGUGUUGCUGAGUCAGCAAGCCUUUCAGAUUUGCCCGGUUUUUGUUGUUUGUGGUUUGCAUCAAGAUGGGAACUCAAACAAGUCAUUCCUCCUAAGGAGCUGGUGUCUUCAUCCAAAAGGGACGCUUCGUGCCAGCUCUCAGGAGAAAAAGUACUCAGUUUUCUGGGUCUGGUUCGAAAAGUAAUCCUCGCCUUUAAGGAGCUUACGCAUUCUCCAGUGGAAGAGACAGGUAAUGGCACUCAGACAUCAUGUGGGCAUUGAUUGUUAGAAGUGGCCACUUUUGCCUUCGGAGCAGGAGUGAACUUAGGAAAGAUCUCACAGGGCAGAGUCUCAAGCUAGGAACUACGAGAUGAGUAAAUGGACAAGUGGGAUGGGCAUUCUCAGUGCAGGGUGAAGGGCAUGAAACAGCCUGACCCACCCUGGGCAUAGCCAGAAGGUCCAGAUGGCAGGAGCUGAGGGUUUGAGGGGCUCAGGGCAUCAUGAAGACAGCUUUGGGUGAUCUGUAUGUAGGGGAAUAUUGAAGCCAUGGGAACAGAUCCCAAGGGUCUAGGAGAAAUGGAGAGAGGAGGGGAGAGGGAGGCCAGGGCCUGAUUCCCAGCUACAGAGGAUGUUAUCAGUGACUGGCGUGGCUCUGGGGAGCGCCUGGGGCUUCCCAGAGGUGGGUCCUGCUGGCAUGCUGCCUGCUGUGCUGUUGGAUGCUGUAUUUUACCCUUAGGUGUUGGGUAAAGGCUGACAUGUCUUCAGAGGGCAGGGCGUGUUAUUGGCAAAGCUAGCCAGAGGCAAAGCACUCUCUCGCUUUUUGAUAGAGACACGAGUUCAGAGAAAUAUUUCUCAACUGUAGGAGUAUGAAAGCACAGUAAUAGAUGUCGGGGAGGCCACAGGGUGGGGGUCUGCAAACGAUGGUCCGUCAGCCAAAUCAGGCCCUCUGCCUUUUUUUUUUGAGACAGAGUCUCACUCUCUCACCCAGGCUGGAGUGCAGUGGUUCGAUCUUGGCUCACUGCAACUUCAGCCUCCUGGGUUCAAGUGAAUCUCCUGCCUUAGCCUCCCAAGUAGCUGGGAUUACAGGUACAUGCCACUAUUCCUGGCUAAUCUUUGUAUUUUUUUGGUAGAGAUAGAGUUUCACUGUGUUGGUCAGGUUAGUCUCAAACUCCUGGCCUCAAAUGAUCUGCCUGCCUCAGCCUCCUGAAGUGCUGGGAUUACAGGCAUAAGCCACUGUGUUCAGCCCCACUGCCUGAUUUUGUUCAUAAAGUUUUAUUGGUACGCAGCCCCUCCUGUUCACACAUUGUUUAUCGUUGUUCUUGUUGUCUAGUGGCGGAGUUGUUGCAAAGACUUGUUCU